This is a small nucleolar RNA of Pteronotus mesoamericanus, 133 nucleotides long. RefSeq annotates it as small nucleolar RNA SNORA42/SNORA80 family. The record is from RefSeq and is a predicted model, not a curated record. Lineage: Eukaryota; Metazoa; Chordata; Mammalia; Chiroptera; Mormoopidae. The transcript has a single exon.
UCAUGGGUUUGGAUUUAUGGCAGGCCCAUCCUGCUGGGUCUCUCAUAGUGUCUCAUGCCAGAGCAGACUGUGGCCUUGAACCAUUGCUUGGCCUCUGCCCUAGGCUGCCAGCACUGAAGUGGGUUACACAGUG